UUGACCUCAAAUCAGGUAGGACUACCCGCUGAACUUAAGCAUAUCAAUAAGCGGAGGAAAAGAAACUAACAAGGAUUCCCCUAGUAACUGCGAGUGAAGCGGGAAAAGCUCAAAUUUGAAAUCUGGCAGCUCUUUGAACUGUCCGAGUUGUAAUCUAGAGAAGUGUUACCUGUGUUGGACCGUGUACAAGUCUCCUGGAAUGGAGCGUCACAGAGGGUGAGAAUCCCGUCUUUGACACGGACUGCCUGCACGUUAUGGUGCGCUCUCAAAGAGUCGAGUUGUUUGGGAAUGCAGCUCAAAAUGGGUGGUAAAUGCCAUCUAAAGCUAAAUAUUGGCGAGAGACCGAUAGCGAACAAGUACCGUGAGGGAAAGAUGAAAAGAACUUUGGAAAGAGAGUUAAACAGUACGUGAAAUUGCUGAAAGGGAAACGCUUGAAGUCAGUCGCGUCGGCUAGAAAUCAACCUUGCUUUUGCUUGGUGUACUUUCUUGUUGACGGGUCAGCAUCAAUUUUGACCGUCGGAUAAAGUCAUUGGGAAUGUGGCAUCUUAGGAUGUGUUAUAGCCCAUUGUCGCAUACGACGGUUGGGAUUGAGGAACUCAGCACGCCCGCAAGGGACGGGUUUUUUGACCACGUUCGUGCUUAGGAUGCGGCAUC
RNAcentral lists this ribosomal RNA (654 nucleotides) under Inocybe pudica. RNAcentral describes it as "eukaryotic LSU rRNA". It matches the Rfam family "Eukaryotic large subunit ribosomal RNA", at positions 1 to 632 of the family's 3401-position model. The record is from RNAcentral. Lineage: Eukaryota; Fungi; Basidiomycota; Agaricomycetes; Agaricales; Inocybaceae.